AUGGGACGCAUGCACAGCAACGGGAAGGGCAUGUCGUCCUCGGUGAUCCCCUACAAGCGGGAGGCCCCGACCUGGGUCAAGACGUCCGCGCCGGACGUGGAGGAGAUCAUCGUCCGCGCCGCCAAGAAGGGCCAGCUGCCGUCGCAGAUCGGCGCCCUGCUCCGCGACGGCUACGGCAUCCCGCUGUCCAAGGCCGUCACCGGCGCCAAGAUCGUGCGCCUGCUCAAGGCGCGCGGGCUGGCGCCGGAGAUGCCCGAGGACCUCUACUUCCUCAUCAAGAAGGCCGUUGCGAUCCGGAAGCACCUGGAGAGGAACAGGUCGGACGUGGACGCCAAGUUCCGCCUCAUCCUCGUCGAGAGCAGGGUCCACCGCCUCACCCGCUACUACCGCCUCACCAAGAAGAUGCCCGCCGCCUGGAAGUACGAGUCCACCACCGCGAGCACUCUCGUCGCCUGA
RNAcentral lists this ribosomal RNA (456 nucleotides) under Triticum aestivum (bread wheat). RNAcentral's name for it is "partial small subunit ribosomal RNA". Lineage: Eukaryota; Viridiplantae; Streptophyta; Magnoliopsida; Poales; Poaceae. The record is from RNAcentral.